RNAcentral lists this ribosomal RNA (254 nucleotides) under uncultured bacterium. RNAcentral's name for it is "partial 16S ribosomal RNA". It matches the Rfam family "Bacterial small subunit ribosomal RNA", at positions 524 to 776 of the family's 1533-position model. The record is from RNAcentral.
UACGGAGGGUGCGGGCGUUGUCCGGAAUCAUUGGGCGUAAAGGGCGCGUAGGUGGCCCGGUCAGUCCGUGGUGAAAGCGCGGGGCUCAACCCUGCGUCGGCCAUGGAUACUGCCGCGGCUCGAGCACUGUAGAGGCAGGCGGAAUUCCGGGUGUAGCGGUGGAAUGCGUAGAUAUCUGGAGGAACACCGGUGGCGAAGGCGGCAUCCUGGACCGGCAUUGACGCUGAGGCGCGAAAGCUAGGGGAGCAAACGGG